RNAcentral lists this ribosomal RNA (393 nucleotides) under Triticum aestivum (bread wheat). Its description in RNAcentral is "partial small subunit ribosomal RNA". The record is from RNAcentral. Lineage: Eukaryota; Viridiplantae; Streptophyta; Magnoliopsida; Poales; Poaceae.
AUGUGUUGGCUUGAGUUGGAAUACUGUCUAUGUAUUAAGCACGAUCAUGUUAUAUGCUUAAGAAUUCAUUCAUGUAUAAUAUUAUCAUGUGCAAAGGCACUGUUUCCUUUUAGCUUACUAUCUAAUUUGUCCGUUUGCAUGUCUCCACGGGAAAAAGUGCUAAGAUACUUAUACUAUACAUAUACAAAGGUCAACACUGUGAGCUGGACACACACUGCAUCUCCUUACACUAUACACUGUCCGUGUUUCCAACUCUUCAUUUCACUAGCUAGAUCUGAAAUGCAAUAUGUGUCAGACUCUCAUGCCUACAUAUUAUUUUUGUUUUCUGUUGGGCCAGUCCAUUUGAAGAAUCCUAAUGGCCAUCAGGGUUAUGAAUUUCUUUGGUGGAAAUGA